RNAcentral lists this ribosomal RNA (445 nucleotides) under uncultured bacterium. Its description in RNAcentral is "bacterial SSU rRNA". It matches the Rfam family "Bacterial small subunit ribosomal RNA", at positions 354 to 796 of the family's 1533-position model. The record is from RNAcentral.
GUGAGGAAUAUUGGACAAUGGGCGCAAGCCUGAUCCAGCCAUGCCGCGUGCAGGAUGACGGUCCUAUGGAUUGUAAACUGCUUUUGUACAGGAAGAAACACUCCCUCGUGAGGGAGCUUGACGGUACUGUAAGAAUAAGGAUCGGCUAACUCCGUGCCAGCAGCCGCGGUAAUACGGAGGAUCCAAGCGUUAUCCGGAAUCAUUGGGUUUAAAGGGUCCGUAGGCGGUCUUAUAAGUCAGUGGUGAAAUCUCCCCGCUCAACGGGGAAACGGCCAUUGAUACUGUAAGACUUGAAUUAUUAGGAAGUAACUAGAAUAUGUAGUGUAGCGGUGAAAUGCUUAGAGAUUACAUGGAAUACCAAUUGCGAAGGCAGGUUACUACUAAUGGAUUGACGCUGAUGGACGAAAGCGUGGGUAGCGAACAGGAUUAGAAACCCCAGUAGUCC